This 253-nucleotide ribosomal RNA is filed under the name uncultured bacterium. RNAcentral's name for it is "partial 16S ribosomal RNA". It matches the Rfam family "Bacterial small subunit ribosomal RNA", at positions 524 to 776 of the family's 1533-position model. The record is from RNAcentral.
UACAGAGGGUGCGAGCGUUAAUCGGAAUUACUGGGCGUAAAGCGCACGUAGGUGGCGACGUAAGUCGGGUGUGAAAGCCCCGGGCUCAACCUGGGAAUUGCAUUCGAGACUGCAUUGCUGGAGUACGGAAGAGGAAGGCGGAAUUCCCGGUGUAGCGGUGAAAUGCGUAGAUAUCGGGAGGAACAUCAGUGGCGAAGGCGGCCUUCUGGUCCAGUACUGACGCUGAGGCGCGAAAGCGUGGGGAGCGAACAGG